AGGGGUCCUGCUAUAAUCAUGUCAUCCUCAGACUUAAGACCCAUCAUCCUGGACUUAGGGUAUCAGAUCCUAAGCAUGUACCUCCACAGGCGUGUGAGGACUCUGGGACAAGGGCUGGGACACCAGAAAAUCAUACUAAGUGGUGUCUAACCGGCCCUCCAGACGGGGAGAAGAGGAUCCAAGGGAGACGCCUCCUGAGAUGAGAAGGCAUCCUUGAAGCCACACAGAAGAGCUGGGGCUCUCAGGACCUACGCAGCUUUCCAGGCUGCCCACCCUAGGUCUUUGUCCAAAGAUGCACCAAGUCCUACACUGGGCACUGGGUGCUCCCGGCACACCUGCGCGUGCCAUGCUUGCAUCAAGCCUUCAGAUGUCCCAUGGACUCCAGGGUGUGCACAUGCUUGUGAGCCCAUGUGCAUAAUCGAUGACUGGUGACACCAAAAAGGGAUGUUCACUGGAUGGCCAGGGGCGGACUGAUGCUCUAAUCUCCUGAGCCAGAGUGCCUGGCAGGGUCUCUCCGGCGGUCCUACCUGCAAACACCGCGGAGCAGUAGGCAUCGCUGAUGUCGGAGUCCGGGGUGUGGACGUUCUCCGCAAAGAGGAUGAAGACUCGCAGCAUCGCGAAGCUGGAGGGGG
Molecule: long non-coding RNA, 632 nt
Filed under: Mus pahari (shrew mouse)
Lineage: Eukaryota; Metazoa; Chordata; Mammalia; Rodentia; Muridae
Description: lncRNA (MGP_PahariEiJ_G0002954.1)
Source: RNAcentral